Molecule: ribosomal RNA, 437 nt
Filed under: uncultured bacterium
Lineage: Bacteria
Description: bacterial SSU rRNA
Rfam family: Bacterial small subunit ribosomal RNA
Source: RNAcentral
GACGAACGCUGGCGGCGUGCUUAACACAUGCAAGUCGAACGGUGAUCUUGAGAGCUUGCUCUUGGGUGAUCAGUGGCGAACGGGUGAGUAACACGUGAGCAACCUGCCUCUGACUCUGGAAUAACUUCGGGAAACCGAAGCUAAUACCGGAUAUGACACAGAGCCGCAUGGUUUCUGUGUGGAAAGUUUUUCGGUUGGGGAUGGACUCGCGGCCUAUCAGCUUGUUGGUGAGGUAAUGGCUCACCAAGGCGACGACGGGUAGCCGGCCUGAGAGGGCGACCGGCCACACUGGGACUGAGACACGGCCCAGACUCCUACGGGAGGCAGCAGUGGGGAAUAUUGCACAAUGGGCGAAAGCCUGAUGCAGCGACGCCGCGUGAGGGAUGAAGGCCUUCGGGUUGUAACCUCUUCAGUAGGGAGAAGCGCAAGUGACGGUA